UACGCAGGAAUUUCAGUUAGAAAACUGAAUUCGCAAGAUUCCGACUAUAAGUAUAGUAGUUGACGACUUUGUUGCCGUUUUGGAAAUGGUUCGCAGCGGGCUUGCAACAGACCUUUGGAUCAUCCCCAGUUGAUGCGGGAAGGAUUUUGGAAGCUUAAUUUGAGGAUUGAGACCUAGGGGAGUUGAUCCUUGGAAUUCCUUUGGACUGAUUUGAGCUUAGUACUAGAGCCAUCUACAGGAGAGGCUAGGGAUCGUGGCAAGGGAG
Long non-coding RNA from Ananas comosus (pineapple), 265 nucleotides. RefSeq lists it as uncharacterized. The transcript is spliced from 3 exons. NCBI's taxonomy places the organism in Eukaryota, Viridiplantae, Streptophyta, Magnoliopsida, Poales, Bromeliaceae. The record is from RefSeq and is a predicted model, not a curated record.